GACGAACGCUGGCGGCGUGCUUAACACAUGCAAGUCGAACGGAAAGGCCCUGCUUUUGUGGGGUGCUCGAGUGGCGAACGGGUGAGUAACCCGUGAGUAACCUGCCCUUGACUUUGGGAUAACUUCAGGAAACUGGGGCUAAUACCGGAUAGGAGCUCCUGCUGCUGGGUGGGGGUUGGAAAGUUUCGGCGGUUGGGGAUGGAAUCGCGGCUUAUUAGCUUGUUGGUGGGGUAGUGGCUUACCAUGGCUUGGACGGGUAGCCGGGCUGAGAGGGUGACCGGACACACUGGGACUGGGAUACGGCCCAGACUCCUACGGGAGGCAGCGGUGGGGAAUAUUGCACAAUGGGAGGAAGCCUGAUGCAGCAACGCCGCGUGCGGGAUGAGGGCCUUCGGGUUGUAUACCGCUUUCGCCUGUGACGAAGCGUGAGUGACGGUAAUGGGUAAAGAAGCACCGGCUAACUACGUG
This 468-nucleotide ribosomal RNA is filed under the name uncultured bacterium. RNAcentral describes it as "partial 16S ribosomal RNA". It matches the Rfam family "Bacterial small subunit ribosomal RNA", at positions 28 to 507 of the family's 1533-position model. The record is from RNAcentral.